This 253-nucleotide ribosomal RNA is filed under the name uncultured bacterium. RNAcentral's name for it is "partial 16S ribosomal RNA". It matches the Rfam family "Bacterial small subunit ribosomal RNA", at positions 524 to 776 of the family's 1533-position model. The record is from RNAcentral.
UACAGAGGUGGCAAGCGUUGUUCGGAAUUACUGGGCGUAAAGGGCGCGUAGGCGGUUCGUCAAGUCCUGUGUGAAAUCCCCCGGCUCAACUGGGGAACUGCACAGGAAACUAGCGGGCUUGAGUUCGGGAGAGGGAAGCGGAAUUCCGGGUGUAGCGGUGAAAUGCGUAGAUAUCCGGAGGAACACCGGUGGCGAAGGCGGCUUCCUGGACCGGCACUGACGCUGAGGCGCGAAAGCUAGGGGAGCAAACGGG